AGUCCCUUGUGCUGUCGAACUUUUUUUCCGCUCGCCUCGCGUUUUGUCUCCCAUCGCACCAUCGAAGUUUUUUUCCGCUCGCCUCACGUCUUCUCUCCCAUCACACCGUCGAUUUUUGUAACCAUCGAUUUGUGCCGAUCGUUUUGCAUCUGGCCAUCGAUUUGUACCAAUUGUUUUGUGUUUAGCCAUCGAUUUUCGUCUAGCUCGUCCGUCGAUCGUUUUAUGCCAUCGAUUUGUGUCGAUCGUCUAGCUCAUCCGUCGAUCAAUUUUCGUCUAGCAAUCAUUUUGUGUUGCGUCCGUCGUUCGUUUUGUGCAGCGUCGCUCGUCGAUCCACCCUGACGGUUUUUCGUUCUAGCCAUCGACCGUCUGUAGCACCGCUGGUCCAUCGAUGUGCUCUGUUCGAUCAGUCUAGCCACUAUUUGCUUUGUGCUUCGAUUGUGUCGUCUGGGACUUUUGCCUUUAAACAACCACAGUGGACUAGUGAUUGUAUUUCCAACUAUAACAUUUAAGUUAAAUACGUGGGGUGUUUACAUAUUCUUAUGUUUGCUCUAUUAAGAGCUUGGAUUUAAAAAGUUUCAAGUUGGCAAGGGUUGAUGGUCAUGAAAAUUUCAUUCACGGUGAAAAUAUGGGUAUUGUAAGAAUGUAUUGAAGUGGUGAAGCUAUCAAGCAAGUGAUUGACAUUUGGUUAAUAUAAAAUUUGUUGUAAUGUGGUUACUCGUUGGCAAUACAUUGUAUUUAGUUUCUUUGUAAGAAUUUUGCAAAAGUUUGGUUAU
Benincasa hispida (wax gourd) is the source of this 773-nucleotide long non-coding RNA. RefSeq lists it as uncharacterized. The record is from RefSeq and is a predicted model, not a curated record. NCBI's taxonomy places the organism in Eukaryota, Viridiplantae, Streptophyta, Magnoliopsida, Cucurbitales, Cucurbitaceae.